GAACUGAAGAGUUUGAUCAUGGCUCAGAUUGAACGCUGGCGGCAGGCCUAACACAUGCAAGUCGAGCGGAUGACGGGAGCUUGCUCCUUGAUUCAGCGGCGGACGGGUGAGUAAUGCCUAGGAAUCUGCCUGGUAGUGGGGGACAACGUUUCGAAAGGAACGCUAAUACCGCAUACGUCCUACGGGAGAAAGCAGGGGACCUUCGGGCCUUGCGCUAUCAGAUGAGCCUAGGUCGGAUUAGCUAGUUGGUGGGGUAAUGGGACC
RNAcentral lists this ribosomal RNA (264 nucleotides) under Pseudomonas sp. DCB_Q. RNAcentral describes it as "partial 16S ribosomal RNA". It matches the Rfam family "Bacterial small subunit ribosomal RNA", at positions 1 to 265 of the family's 1533-position model. The record is from RNAcentral. Lineage: Bacteria; Pseudomonadati; Pseudomonadota; Gammaproteobacteria; Pseudomonadales; Pseudomonadaceae.